RNAcentral lists this transfer RNA (83 nucleotides) under Salipiger pallidus. RNAcentral describes it as "tRNA-Glu". Lineage: Bacteria; Pseudomonadati; Pseudomonadota; Alphaproteobacteria; Rhodobacterales; Roseobacteraceae. The record is from RNAcentral.
CUUCCGUCUUGGCGAUCAGGCCGGCGUCGUCGAGUUUCUCGAACUCGGGCUCCAGCGCGUUGAUCUUUUCAACGAUGGUACGC